UCAGCUCUAGGUUUCCCAGCCCUUCCUUAUGCUAACUGCCUCAGGAAUUUUCCCAAGCACACAGCCGGCUCCUGUUAUUUAUUGGUACAGGGACUUCAGUGAACUAAACCCUGCCCUCUCUGCCGGGAGCAAUGCCUGCAAGUUGGCAUUCACAGGUUGCAUCUGGCCCACAGAUGGUUUUUGGUUUGGCCUGCGGAGUUUAAAGGAUUAGCCAAUCUCCAGCGGUUAAAAUUGGAAUUGUGUAUAUAAUUUAGGAAGCGUAGCAUCUCAUAAAAUCAUCAGUGAACCAGCCUUACCAGAAAUGUGGAAUCAAUAAAUAAGGGCUGCAUAGGAAAGUCCUCCACUCAGCCAUGUGGACUUGAGUUGACUAGAGUCUGUCACUCCCUAGGUACUCCUGGUUUUCAGGCUAAGCGGUUAGCUGUCAUCUACCAACACAGGAGCAGUGAUUUACCUCACGGUGCCGUUUCUCCGUGCUAGUUUCCUGCUUCAUGAGGGCCCCCGCCUUGCUGUCUAUAUUUGGCUUAUACGAUUUUCAACUUCAGGCAGAGGAUGUGGCUCAGUGGUUAAGAACACUCGCUGUGCAAACAUGAGGACUGGGAUUCGAAUCUCCAACAGCCCUAUACAACGCACUGGUGUAGCUGUCUUCGUUUAUAGCUCCAGGGUUGUCUGAAGGUGGAAAUGGGUGAAUCGCCAGGGCUGGCUGACUGCUGGCUCGUUCCACAACAUGAACCAGCUAACUGGAGGAGGUGUCUACUGUGAUGUUCUGAGAAAGAUGAGCAGCAUUUGGGCUCAGGAGAAGAAGAUCCUCUGGGAAUGGAAAGGGCAGAUGAGAUUCCUGCAAAGAGGCAUAGCUCGGAUUAUCUGGAAAAGCAGACUCCAGGUUGGAGGUUUGCUUAGAACACCCUUACAGAGGACAGCUCUCUGAGAAGGAAUCAGGCAAGAGUGGAAAAAAGAUGAUGGACUGCACUGGUCUCACAAUGGCCUUAGCCCAUUCCCUGAAGCACAAUUAUGAAGCAGUGGCCACCCCCAGUUAGUCCACUUUAUCUGUCCCAAGAAUGAGGAGGCUUCUUGAUUCUGGUUGACACGAGAAAGCAUAACAAGAGUUAGGUCGACUCUGUGGUCAAGAUCAUUGUCCUUUUAUAAUUCUUACACCUCUAUGGAGACAACGCUCCUGCAAUUGGAAGCAUCCCAGCCAAGGUCAGAUGUCACCUGCUUUCUAGUCCUCUCUGGAGAGGUUUCCAUUUUUGGAUUUCAUCAGAAUUGCAGUGUGUGUGGGUGUGGGGUGGUGGUGGUGAUGGGUGUUCAAUUGAUGCUAAUUGUCAGACACUGAUUUGGUAGGUAGGUCAGACUGGGGCCUCAGACUCUGUUAUUAAGGUCCUUCAUCUGACUUCCCUAUGCUGCCGUGCUUGGGCACAUCAGUAUUGAAGCAGAUAUUUCAGCCGUGUUACUCCAAUUGAAUUAUUUCUGUGUUUGGCAUUCCAGGACAGAGUGUGGGAGGAGAGACAAAGGAACUGCACCAGCAUGUCACCUCAUUAUCUGAGAAGGGGAGUCCUGAGCCACCCAGUGGAACAGAAUUAAAACCCACCAGACUUGACUUCUAUAUGCUCUUCCAAUUACAAAGACUCAUUAAUAACAGGGAUUUUCCAGGGGGAAAUGAAGCAUCACUGUUCGCUGUUGUUGUCAUUUGAUGAAAAGACAUUUAUUGAGCAUGCCUUAUGUUUUCCUUCAGAGUUUAAUUGUCCGAGAAUUUCACACAUACAUGUAGUAUAUUUUGAUCAAUGCCACCCCCAUUCUCUCCUGACCAUUUCCUCCCCAACCUAACCCAAUAAUAUUUUGCCUCCCAACUUUGUGUGUUCUUUUCAAAAAGUCCACUGUGUUCGCUUAGUGCUGUCUAUAUGUCUGAGUUUGUCUUUUAUUUUUAAAUAUUUCCUGGGUCCAGCAUAAAGGGACAUCUGUGGGCUCAAGGAUAAGAACAAAACCACAUGUGAGUUCCUUUGGAAAUUUUUGCAGUCAGGACAUGUCUCCUAUGAUUCAGCAGAAGUGAUUAUUUUGGGAGCAACAAAAGAUAUUCCUUUUUUAAAAGUACAAACUUAUGUAACACUGCCAAAAAAAACUAAAAUAGAUUUUAAAGCUAUUGACUUUUGUUCAUAAUUUCUGGCUGCUGUUCUCAAUGUGAAGACAUUUGAUUUACUUAUAGUGUCGCAUUUAUUUUUCCUGACAAGUAUUUUAUAUUCAUAUCUUUAUGUAUCUCUUGGGCCUUUGUGGUUCUGUCAUUUGAGGCUAUCUAUUGCAUAGUUUUGAUGUCUAUGACUGACUUUAUUUCUCUGAUUUGGGGGAUUUCCUUCCAACUUGCCACCAUUACAGAUGAUUUUGUCCUUAUCAUUUGGUGUCUGUCCUCACAGGUGCCUUUCCCAACCCGAAAAUCUUAGCUCCUAAAGUAGUUCCUUUCCCUUCCCAUCCCCUAGAAUGUGAUCCAGUAGCUUCCUCAUCUGGCUGGAUCUACUCUCCAUCUUCACUAGGGCUGAGGAACUUCUGUUCACAAUUACUAAGUGAGGGUUCUAGCCUUAUCACGUAGAUUGUUCCAGCGAAAUGUAAUGCAUUGUUGUAGUGCCCGUGAUCAUGGCCUUAAGUAUUCUUGAAUUCACAGGCUUCAUCUUAUCCAUGCUGAUCCAAUAGGCAAUGUAAGAGUGUCUCUGAUUGCAAACAUUCCAAAGUCAUUUGCACAAUGACUGAGUGACUUCAACAAGUCAUUUUUUUUAAGGGUGGCCAUCAAAUCAUUUAACAUCCAAAUCUUUUGAGGGUCAAAGAGGAAUUUCUUCUAGCUUUUCAGAAAUUGAAAUAUAACAAUUGAAUACAUUUCUGGAAGACAGAUAAGUCUCACUUUCCCUUCUAUUCCCAAUGCAGUCAUCGUUUCUGUCAAAGAUUGAUAGAGAAUUACAUUAAAAGUCUUUUUCAAGGUUCCUAUUUUUGGGUAUUGUUGGUGACUUUCCAGUUUUGAAACAUUAGGAGCAAACUCCUUGUCAGAAAAUAACUCUCUUACCAUAUGAAUGAAUUUAAUUUCUUAGAUUCCAAUUAGACCAAUCCAUAAUCAAAUUAAUCACAGCAUUUAAUAAUUUUAAAUUACUGACACAUGCCAGUUCACAUGACUAGAAUUUACUUUUCUCAUACUCAUUGCCCCUGAGAAUUUUCUCGUUUGAAAGCAACAUUUAAUGAAAAUUUGAAAAAAUACUAGUUGCAAUAAUAAUAAGGAGAAUGAUUACUUUAACUUUCUCCAGUUUCACCCUUGGUCCAUCAGUCAGUUUACACCUAACUGUUGGUUUCUGGGUCAAUUUUGGUCACUUAAUGUUUUGUAAAGUUCAUUCACAGCACUGAACAUUCAAACAUUACAUUUUGAGCAAUAAAAGGUAUUUUUUGAAGCAAUAAAGCUUAUGUUGUCAUGAUGAAUUUCAGCACACAAUAAAAAGGCUGCUACCCGACUUCUGCAUUAGCUUCAAUUCCCCAGAGGGAAGCAGUUCCAAUUCAUCCAUUGUGUCCUUUCCCAUAGACUGUGCAAUUUGUAAUAGACUGAUUAAUUUGUAAUCUCCCUAUAUUUUUGUUCUCUCAGAUCCUCUAUCUCAGAAAUCUCCAAUUCUAGGAUCAAGAGUUUUAUCUUUUCUCCUUCUUUACAAGAUGUUGGAACCACGAAUCCAAGUUUGCCUUCUUUCUUCUCUGCGUCCUUGUUGACUUAUAACUAGAAAAGUUGUUUUCUGUCUAGAGAGUGAGUUCCAGGAAGGAAAAGAGAUAAAUCAUAUUCACAACUGCUCAUGAAUAACUGAUAAUUUCAAAUAACUUAAAAACUUUUGAGUGACUAUGAAAUCGGUGAAAUAUAUCAACGACAAGUGACAGACAAAAUAUUCUCAGUGUCCAACACUCAAGAGGUACAAAAUGUUUUGGAGCAAAGCAUUCCCUGUUAGUGUGGUCUCUGGCCAACUAGUUCUCUGCAACCAGUGUCAACACUUUCUUGGCAGUUUCCUCUCAUAUAUUAUGCAAAUUCUAGUUCUUCACUUUACGUACAGGGCUCUACACUGCUUUUUUGCCUUAUACUUAAUAGUUUAUCUUAUAAAUCUCUU
RNAcentral lists this small RNA (4109 nucleotides) under Rattus norvegicus (Norway rat). Its description in RNAcentral is "uncharacterized LOC102556293". The record is from RNAcentral. Lineage: Eukaryota; Metazoa; Chordata; Mammalia; Rodentia; Muridae.